Long non-coding RNA from Stylophora pistillata, 400 nucleotides. NCBI's taxonomy places the organism in Eukaryota, Metazoa, Cnidaria, Anthozoa, Scleractinia, Pocilloporidae. The record is from RefSeq and is a predicted model, not a curated record.
CCCUACGCCUGACUACCUGAUAGAAGCCCUUGGCGGGACUUGUGGCGGUGUAUAGGACACCAAACACCCAGACGUCAGGGGCUCGUCUUCCUCUGUUGUACUAAAAUAGAAGAUAUAGUUCAUUACUUUUUUAAUGUAACUGCUUCAGACGUCGGAAAAUGUUCUAACAAAGGUUUUCCAGCACAGUAUAUUUGUAGAGUAACUUGACAGGAAACAGUGAUUCACCCUUAAAUAUUUUACACCAUCAACUUUGGUGUGAACACUUUUAAGCCGUAUACUAAGUUUUUUUAAAUCUUGUUGCUAAUCGUGUACUUUGAGUAAAAUUUGUAUGUUUUUUUUUAAUACGAAUACCUCAGCUCGGGUGGAAUUUGUUCGAUUAAAUGCUGCUACUUAAAACUUA